AGCUCAGUUAAAUCCAUAUUGCAUUUAUGCACUUUCCAAAAAAAAAAUGAUACCUGAGACUAUGAGAGACAUAAAAGAACGUAAAACAAGCCUGAACGGAAGCUAUCCACUUAAAUUGAAUAAAUUAGUAAUAGAUUAAGCAAGCAUAAGUUAUUUUAAAUAUGGUGAUUAGAAUGAACGCGUGUCUCAACGCAAACAAAUCCUUUAAUGAUGUAGCGAAUAUGGCACAGGCAAAUAAAUGAAAUACAGUGGCCUCAGAACGCAAUGAGUAGAACAUGAAGUGGAGAAAUGAUAAAAAA
Schizosaccharomyces pombe (fission yeast) is the source of this 299-nucleotide non-coding RNA. Lineage: Eukaryota; Fungi; Ascomycota; Schizosaccharomycetes; Schizosaccharomycetales; Schizosaccharomycetaceae. The record is from the annotation of a GenBank genome assembly.